Molecule: long non-coding RNA, 242 nt
Filed under: Gossypium raimondii (Peruvian cotton)
Lineage: Eukaryota; Viridiplantae; Streptophyta; Magnoliopsida; Malvales; Malvaceae
Description: long non-coding RNA (GRAI_LNC003576)
Source: RNAcentral
GGGAAAGGAAAAAAGUUAACUACGGGCAGUGGAUGUUGGUUGAGGGUAAAUCACGGCGUGGUCAAAGAGAUUCUCGAGCUAACAGGGUAGUAAAUUUGGGAAAGGGAACGUUGGGGUCUAGGUUUUCGCCGUUGAUUGCAGAAGAUGUCUCAUGUGGCGACUUAGGAGAGUCUUAUGGGGUUUUUUGGGGGAGAAGGAUGAUAGUUGUGUGGCUGUGGGUAUGAGAAAUAAUGGAGCUAGGG